This 219-nucleotide ribosomal RNA is filed under the name uncultured bacterium. RNAcentral's name for it is "partial 16S ribosomal RNA". It matches the Rfam family "Bacterial small subunit ribosomal RNA", at positions 328 to 539 of the family's 1533-position model. The record is from RNAcentral.
ACGCUCGACACCUACGGGAGGCAGCAGUGAGGAAUAUUGGUCAAUGGGCGCUAGCCUGAACCAGCCAAGUAGCGUGAAGGAUGAAGGCUCUAUGGGUCGUAAACUUCUUUUANAUAAGAAUAAAGUGCAGUAUGUAUACUGUUUUGUAUGUAUUAUAUGAAUAAGGNUCGGCUAACUCCGUACCAGCAGCCGGCGGUAAUCUGAGCGGGCUGGCAAGGC